Unclassified non-coding RNA from Panthera pardus (leopard), 325 nucleotides. Its record names the gene 7SK. It matches the Rfam family "7SK RNA". Rfam says of the family: 7SK was discovered as an abundant small nuclear RNA in the mid-70s but a possible function has only recently been suggested. Two independent studies have found that 7SK RNA binds the CDK9/cyclin T complex (known as elongation factor P-TEFb). P-TEFb activates transcription by phosphorylating the C-terminal domain of RNA polymerase II. Lineage: Eukaryota; Metazoa; Chordata; Mammalia; Carnivora; Felidae. The record is from Ensembl.
GGAUAUGAGGGUGAUCUGGCUAUGACAUCUGUCACCCCAUUGAUCACCAAGGUUGAUUUGGCUGAUCUGACUGGCUAAGUGGGUGUCUCCUUCCUCCCUCACCACUCCAUGUGCCUCCCUCCUGAAGCUGCAUGCUUGGUUGAAGAGAAUGACCUAGAUAGAGGAGCAUCAGUCUUUGGUCAAGCCUGUAGGAGUAGCUACACUCCCCUGCUAGCACCUCCAAACAAGCUCUCAAGGUCAUGUGUAGGCGAAGGUAGGGUAGUAAAGCUUCCAAGACUCCAGACAUAUCCAAAUGAGGUGCUGUUGUGGCAGUCUGUCUUUAUUU